GUGCUUGCUUCGGCAGCACAUAUACUAAAAUUGGAAUGAUAUAGAGAAGAUAAGCAUGGCCCCUAUGCAAGGAUGACACAUAAAUUUGUGAAGCAUUCCAUAUUUUU
Symphalangus syndactylus (siamang) is the source of this 107-nucleotide small nuclear RNA. The record is from RefSeq and is a predicted model, not a curated record. NCBI's taxonomy places the organism in Eukaryota, Metazoa, Chordata, Mammalia, Primates, Hylobatidae.